RNAcentral lists this ribosomal RNA (310 nucleotides) under uncultured fungus. Its description in RNAcentral is "eukaryotic LSU rRNA". The record is from RNAcentral. Lineage: Eukaryota; Fungi.
AACGCACCUUGCGCUCCUGGGCUAUUCCUAGGAGCAUGCCUGUUUGAGUGUCGUGAAAUCAUCAACCCCAGUUGGAUUUGAAAUUUGACUGGUGGCUUGGGCUUGGGGGUUUGCUGGCCGUUUUGAUUCGGUCUGGCUCCCCUUGAGUGUAUUAGCUUGGACUUGUUCCUAAGGCUUCAUGGCGUGAUAAUUAUCUACGCCGUGGCUGUGAGGCUUACUUUAACUGGGCUCAGCUUCCAACCGUCUGCUUGCGGACAACAUCUUAUUGACCUCUGACCUCAAAUCAGGUAGGAUUACCCGCUGAACUUAA